Molecule: long non-coding RNA, 855 nt
Organism: Rhinopithecus roxellana (golden snub-nosed monkey)
Lineage: Eukaryota; Metazoa; Chordata; Mammalia; Primates; Cercopithecidae
Exons: 5
Source: RefSeq, a predicted model, not a curated record
AAAAGCCUAUGACUGCAACUCUCAUGGAUGUUUGAACACAUUUGUUUUGAGAUUUGUUUCCUCAUCUGACUCAGAGGUACUUGAAGAAGCCAGAUUAUGUCACCUGACCAAGCCUGACAUUAAGCACAAGGAAAAGAAUUCUCUUCCAAUAGGAAUCUCGUGGCAAAGGAAAGGGAUACCCAUUCAUCUUAAAGGAAAGGCAGGAAAUUCCUGGGAAGAGCAACUAUUAAAAGGAGGUGAUUUUCCUACAAAGAAUGCAUGUCUCCGCGAGCAAAGAUGCUGUGAUUGAUUACCAAUUUCCCACUCCCUGGGAUUUCAGUUGCUGCUAUAAUCUGGGAUGAAAUCACACUGCAUGUGAGACGAGCACAAUUAAAAGUCUUCUGAGAGCCCUGGAAAGCAAAUGUGAUAUUGGGUCACCUGCAUGGAGGAUCUGGGCCAGGUGUAUGGCAUGCAGGAGCUGGUUGGGCCUUAGCUUAACAUUAAAAGUACAAACAGUAAAAACCAUGGUGGCCCGUGCUGACCAGGUGCCAGCUGGGGAGCACAGAGGCGGACUCCAUGGCUGACGGAGGGAAAGAGGCAUUGAUUUCUGCUUCAUGGAGAGAAAAGAUGGAAAACGUAACUUUUAAAGUGAUUUUUGCAUUCUUCUUUAGAUACUUUGCAUUGUUUAAAAAAAAGCUAUAGACUUAAAAGAUGAAAAUUUUAGACUUUGCUAUUGUUAUGGGCCAAGAAUUGGGUCUCACUUAAAAAAAAUGAGAGAGACAAUUCUGAUGUGAAUCUCAUGUUUAUUGUUUUAAAAGCUCUGUGCUAAUACCAAAAGAAUGUAUUUCUGGUGGGAAAAGAUAUAUUUCCAUGCCU